UUUUUUUGAUUUUUUUUAAAUUUCCCGAUUUUCCUAUUUCUGAAUUAUUUUACAAUUUAAUCUCUAAUCACCCCUCACACUAUUCAAUUUAACCUCUAAUCUCUAAUCACCCCUCACACUAUUCAAUUUAACCUCUAAUCUCUAAUCACCCCUCAUCACUGCUCAAUUUAACCUUUAAUCUCUAAUCAUAAUCACUCAUUAUCACUGCUCAAUUUAACCUCUAAUCUCUAAUCACACCUCAUCAUUUCAAAUCUUCUAACUUUCCGGCCGAU
This 272-nucleotide long non-coding RNA is filed under the name Triticum aestivum (bread wheat). RNAcentral describes it as "long non-coding RNA (TAES_LNC024981)". The record is from RNAcentral. Lineage: Eukaryota; Viridiplantae; Streptophyta; Magnoliopsida; Poales; Poaceae.